RNAcentral lists this transfer RNA (92 nucleotides) under Oscillospiraceae bacterium. RNAcentral describes it as "tRNA-Ser". It matches the Rfam family "tRNA". Rfam says of the family: Transfer RNA (tRNA) molecules are approximately 80 nucleotides in length. The record is from RNAcentral. Lineage: Bacteria; Bacillati; Bacillota; Clostridia; Eubacteriales; Oscillospiraceae.
GGAGAUGUCGCCUAGAUGGUCGAGGGCGCACGACUGGAAAUCGUGUAGGGGUCAGAAGCCUCUCACGAGUUCGAAUCUCUUCAUCUCCGCCA